Molecule: ribosomal RNA, 497 nt
Filed under: uncultured bacterium
Lineage: Bacteria
Description: partial 16S ribosomal RNA
Rfam family: Bacterial small subunit ribosomal RNA
Source: RNAcentral
GAUGAACGCUGGCGGCGUGCCUAAUACAUGCAAGUAGAACGCUGAAGCUUGGUGCUUGCACCGAGCGGAUGAGUUGCGAACGGGUGAGUAACGCGUAGGUAACCUGCCUCUUAGCGGGGGAUAACUAUUGGAAACGAUAGCUAAUACCGCAUAAAAGUCGAUAUCGCAAGAUAUUGAUUUGAAAGGUGCAAAUGCAUCACUAAGAGAUGGACCUGCGUUGUAUUAGCUAGUUGGUGAGGUAACGGCUCACCAAGGCGACGAUACAUAGCCGACCUGAGAGGGUGAUCGGCCACACUGGGACUGAGACACGGCCCAGACUCCUACGGGAGGCAGCAGUAGGGAAUCUUCGGCAAUGGGGGCAACCCUGACCGAGCAACGCCGCGUGAGUGAAGAAGGUUUUCGGAUCGUAAAGCUCUGUUGUAAGAGAAGAACGAGUGUGAGAGUGGAAAGUUCACACUGUGACGGUAACUUACCAGAAAGGGACGGCUAACUACGUG